This 484-nucleotide ribosomal RNA is filed under the name uncultured bacterium. RNAcentral's name for it is "partial 16S ribosomal RNA". It matches the Rfam family "Bacterial small subunit ribosomal RNA", at positions 30 to 507 of the family's 1533-position model. The record is from RNAcentral.
AUUGAACGCUGGCGGCAGGCCUAACACAUGCAAGUCGAGCGGAUGAAGGGAGCUUGCUCCUGGAUUCAGCUGCGGACGGGUGAGUAAUGCCUAGGAAUCUGCCUGGUAGUGGGGGAUAACGUCCGGAAACGGGCGCUAAUACCGCAUACGUCCUGAGGGAGAAAGUGGGGGAUCUUCGGACCUCACGCUAUCAGAUGAGCCUAGGUCGGAUUAGCUAGUUGGUGGGGUAAAGGCCUACCAAGGCGACGAUCCGUAACUGGUCUGAGAGGAUGAUCAGUCACACUGGAACUGAGACACGGUCCAGACUCCUACGGGAGGCAGCAGUGGGGAAUAUUGGACAAUGGGCGAAAGCCUGAUCCAGCCAUGCCGCGUGUGUGAAGAAGGUCUUCGGAUUGUAAAGCACUUUAAGUUGGGAGGAAGGUCAGUAAGUUAAUACCUUGCUGUUUUGACGUUACCAACAGAAUAAGCACCGGCUAACUUCGUG